RNAcentral lists this ribosomal RNA (465 nucleotides) under Vreelandella stevensii. RNAcentral's name for it is "partial 16S ribosomal RNA". It matches the Rfam family "Bacterial small subunit ribosomal RNA", at positions 338 to 795 of the family's 1533-position model. The record is from RNAcentral. Lineage: Bacteria; Pseudomonadati; Pseudomonadota; Gammaproteobacteria; Oceanospirillales; Halomonadaceae.
CCUACGGGGGGCAGCAGUGGGGAAUAUUGGACAAUGGGGGGAACCCUGAUCCAGCCAUGCCGCGUGUGUGAAGAAGGCCCUCGGGUUGUAAAGCACUUUCAGUGAGGAAGAACGCCUGGUGGUUAAUACCCAUCAGGAAAGACAUCACUCACAGAAGAAGCACCGGCUAACUCCGUGCCAGCAGCCGCGGUAAUACGGAGGGUGCGAGCGGUAAUCGGAAUUACUGGGCGUAAAGCGCGCGUAGGUGGCUUGAUAAGCCGGUUGUGAAAGCCCCGGGCUCAACCUGGGAACGGCAUCCGGAACUGUCAAGCUAGAGUGCAGGAGAGGAAGGUAGAAUUCCCGGUGUAGCGGUGAAAUGCGUAGAGAUCGGGAGGAAUACCAGUGGCGAAGGCGGCCUUCUGGACUGACACUGACACUGAGGUGCGAAAGCGUGGGUAGCAAACAGGAUUAGAUACCCUUGUAGUC